ACUUCAUUGUAUUUUCAUGCUAUUUUUCUCAGAUGUUCUCCCAAAACCCUCAUGGCGCAGCUGAAGCCCGCUGCUUCACCCACCCGCUCUGUCACCUCUCUCAUAUCGUGUUUUUCCCGCGCCGAAAAAACCAAAUUCCGGCCUCUGCGUGCGGCCGCAAUUAACCCCUUAGCCUCCUCCUGCAACUCCCGCGUUCAUUCCCUCCUCAGUGCUGGCGACCCCGCCACCGCCAUAUCGGCUUACAAGGACUUCAUCAUCACCGGAAUCACCCCUCUCUACCCAACUCUUACCUCUCUCAUUCAUUGCUUCUCCCUCACAAAAAACCCUAAACUCUCUUUCUCCACCGCAGGUCUCAUCCUCAAAUCCGGCCAUCCCGUUGAUACCCUUCUUCUCAAUCUCCUUAUCAAAGCUCUGUGCCAAAGCCACCAGCUUGAUGAAGCCAUUGAGUUUUUUCGACAAGUUGCUCGGCGGUGGAUCUUUCCUGAUGUUAUUACUUACAAUACUCUCAUCCAUGGGUUAAUGAAGGAGAAGAGGAUGGAGAGGGCGAUGGAACUGUGGGAUGAUAUGGCUGAAGGAGACUUCCAGCCGAAUUUGGUGAGUUAUACUAUUUUAAUUGAUGGUUUUUGUAAGAAUGGUAGAGUGGAUGAGGCCAGUGGGUUGUUGAAUGAAAUGAGAAAUAAAGGCGUGGAUGCAGAUGUGGUGGUGUAUAGCGCUCUAAUUAGCGGUUUGUGUGAUGCGGGUAGAGUCGAUAGAGGAUUGGAGCUCUUCAAAGAGAUGAGUGAGAGGGGCAUUUCACCAAAUGUGGUUACUUUUAGUUGUUUGAUUAAUGCUCUGCAGAAGGCUGGGAGGUGGGCAGGAGUCAGGGAAUUGCUGAAUGACAUGGUGGAGCAAGGUAUAAAACCUGAGGUUUUUACAUAUACUGGAUUAAUUGAUGGGCUUUGUAAGGUGGGGAAGGAAAAAGAAGCCAUGAAGAUGUUUGAUCUAAUGGUGGAGAAGGGGGUGGAGCCGAGCACAGUGACCUAUAAUGUAUUGAUUAAUCAUUUAUGCAAAGAAGGAAUGAUUGAUGAUGCUCUUGCAUUCAUGGAGAAUAUGAGUGAAAGGGGUAAUGUACCAGAUGUUGUGACAUAUAACACUUUAAUUCUAGGUCUUUGUGAGGCAAACAAGAUGAGGGAGGCAAUUAAAAUGCUCGAUGAAAUGCUAGAGGGGAAGCAUGGCGUUGAGCCCGAUGUUUUGACUUUCAACACAAUUAUGCAUUGGUUAUGUAAGAGAGGAGGGGUUUCUCGGGCGUUGGAGCUUCAGAAGAUGAUGGUAGAAAGGGGGUAUGAUUGCAAUUUGAUGACUUAUAAUGUGUUGAUUGGUGGACUCAUCAAAAUUCGUAAGUUUAAUGCAGCAAUGGAGCUAAAGAAGGAGAUGGCUGGUAAGGGAUUGAGGCCAAACUCCUUUACAUAUAGUAUAAUGAUAAAUGAGCUGAGCAAAUUGGGAAAAGUUGAUGAUGCCGAGAGGCUUCUGAGGGAAAUGGGAGACCAUGGACUUUCACCUAGUUUGCUUGAUUAUAAUACAUUGAUGGCGUCGAUGUCCAAAGAAGGUAUGAAGGAGAGAGUGAUGAGAUUAUUCAGUGACAUGAGUGAGAAAUUAACACCUGAUGUGGUAUCUUUUAACACUUUGAUUGAUGCUGCUGGCAGACUUGGGGAUUUUGAAACCGUGAAACUAUUGCUUUCAGCUAUGUUUCGGAGAGGUUUAAGCCCUGACCGCAUUACGUAUUCUACAAUAAUAAAUAGAUUUGUAAAGUCAGGAAAGCUGGAGGAAGCUAAGAAGCUAUUUGAGGAAAUGAUUAGUAGUGGGCUGUCAUCUGAUGUUGUUGUAUAUCAUGCUCUACUUAAUGGUUUCAGAGAGAAGGGUGAAAUGGGAGAAGUCAUUAACUUACUCCAUCAGAUGGCGAGCAAUGACAUUUCUCUCGAUGUAAAAAUGGUUCAAACUUUACUGGAUUGCUUGGGGUCUGGAAUGGAAGAUCAUGAGCUUCUAAAAGAGUUGCAUAAGUUCAGUAGAAGAUCAUCAAAGGCCCCAUUUUCAGUUAACAAGCUGACUAAAAUACUCCAGAAGUCAUCUUCAAAGUUGCAGUUAAGUGCUGCUUGUUGAUUGGUGAUAGUUUUAUUUAGAGUCUCUAUUACCGGAACUCCUAAAUAUUUGGGCAUGCUAGUUUUAGUGGAAGAGCUUCAGCAAAUUUUCUACAAGUUGUAAACUCACAAGCACAAUGAAUUCUAGUUGGAUUUGCUCUUUCUAUGGCUAUGUUUUCAAUUCUGUCUUCACGUGUAUGUGCCAUACAUUGUUUGGUAUUUAUUGGGGUACCAUAGUAUGUUAUUUUGGUGGUCUAAUAUAUGCAAGGCAGUUUUUUAGAAGAUGUUUUUUGCAGUUUCUUAACGAGCUAAUCUUCUUGCUAAGCUGGUUGGUAAAGUUCUUAUUAACAAUUCAAAUGUCGGUUGUAUCUUGAUGAGCCUUUUGUGUGUCCUUCAAUGUCAUCUCCCAAGGAGUGUAAUUGCAGUGGAUAACAACUAAAAGCUAGUCAGAAAAGGUUGCAGAUAGAGAUGCGAAAAGCAAGUGUUUUCAAAUUACAUUGAUGCUUCAGACUUUCCUCAUUCCAUUUCUGAAGUUCUUAUAUUGGUGGUACCGGCCGCUGAACCUUUGUUUUACUGAGCUAUUCCUGCAAAAAAAAAAAGUUUUUUUUUUUUCAUCAAACUCACUUGGCUUAUUGCUGAAAGCUUUAAAAUUGAGGUGGUAAGAAGAUUGAUUCAUUAUAAUCUUGUAGAAUGCAUUAACAACCUCAGGAUUCUUAUCGUUGUUUUUGGGAGCUUAAUGUUUGUCCUGAAGUUCAAUGCUUUUUCUGAAAGUUCUUGAAUGCCUGGCUUCCUUACUGCAGCAUAUUCCAACAUCAAGAAUUAUCACUAGCUUGUUGCGGCAUAUCUGGAAUGGAACCUUUACGACACCAAAAGGGGCUUAGUUUUUAGGGAAUUACUCUUCCUUCUACCACAUUAUUAGGUCAACGCACUGCUUACUGAAGAAACAAUUAUGAUUGUGUGUCAGCUCACUUGGGAACCUGAUUUCUAAAGAUGAAUAUUGAUGGCUCAGCUAAGCUAAAAUGGUUUCAGCUCUUUCCAAGCCUCUAUUUAGUACAUGUGAACAUGCAAGUGUUUCUAGCAGCAUGGGAUGACCUUUCAAGAGAAAAAAAAUUUUUGGUAGUUCAGGUAACUUGGGUGCAAGAAAUUCUUCCUAUGUGAUGACCAAAAGGAUCUUGCAAGAUAAUGCUGAAUGUUACUUCCCCUGAAGAGAUGCUUACUAGCUAGUUCUGGUCUAGAGAAGUUGGAGGCUAUGGAGAAUCUAUUUAAGGUACCAAAAACCAAGGGAAGCUCUCCCAUUUGUUCGAUAGGACCAGUUUGUGAGGACUCCAAAUAUGGCUCGAUAGCCCUUAGCAAAGCUCAUGGUGCAAAUUCAUGGAGCUUCAACUCACCUAUUUUGUAGUUAACUUAUCUUAGCUUAUUAUGAAUGGAGCGUGAUUUGGGUAACCAAGAUAUAAUUGUUGCUUCUAAGUUUCCUGGAAGCAUCUGAGACUAUAGAUCUUUUUUUUUCAAGAAGAAUUCAGCGUGGGUACUUAGAAUCUUAUCAAAUAAAUUUUGCAAGUGUUGCAGAGACGAGGAUGCUCAGGUAUAUGAGUGGCUUUGCUCUUGGAGAUAUGAUACGAAAUAAGCUGCAAAAAGAUCAGAGUAGCUCCUGUGGAAGAUAAGAUUAGAUAGAGUUGCCUUAUA
Molecule: RNA transcript, 3797 nt
Organism: Dendrobium catenatum
Lineage: Eukaryota; Viridiplantae; Streptophyta; Magnoliopsida; Asparagales; Orchidaceae
Gene name: pentatricopeptide repeat-containing protein At4g28010
Exons: 2
Source: RefSeq, a predicted model, not a curated record